AGAGACAGCAGCAGCCGCGGUAAUACGAAGGGGGCUAGCGUUGUUCGGAUUUACUGGGCGUAAAGCGCACGUAGGCGGGCUUUUAAGUCAGGGGUGAAAUCCCGGGGCUCAACCCCGGAACUGCCUUUGAUACUGGAAGUCUUGAGUAUGGAAGAGGUGAGUGGAAUUCCGAGUGUAGAGGUGAAAUUCGUAGAUAUUCGGAGGAACACCAGUGGCGAAGGCGGCUCACUGGUCCAUUACUGACGCUGAGGUGCGAAAGCGUGGGGAGCAAACAGGAUUAGAUACCCCUGUAGUCCCUGUCUCUUAUAC
This 309-nucleotide ribosomal RNA is filed under the name uncultured bacterium. RNAcentral's name for it is "partial 16S ribosomal RNA". It matches the Rfam family "Bacterial small subunit ribosomal RNA", at positions 504 to 807 of the family's 1533-position model. The record is from RNAcentral.